This 164-nucleotide ribosomal RNA is filed under the name uncultured bacterium. RNAcentral's name for it is "partial 16S ribosomal RNA". It matches the Rfam family "Bacterial small subunit ribosomal RNA", at positions 355 to 511 of the family's 1533-position model. The record is from RNAcentral.
UAGGGAAUCUUCGGCAAUGGACGAAAGUCUGACCGAGCAACGCCGCGUGAGUGAAGAAGGUUUUCGGAUCGUAAAACUCUGUUGUUAGAGAAGAACAAGGGUGAGAGUAACUGUUCACCCCUUGACGGUAUCUAACCAGAAAGCCACGGCUAACUAUGUGCCAG